RNAcentral lists this ribosomal RNA (313 nucleotides) under Occidozyga laevis. RNAcentral's name for it is "partial 12S ribosomal RNA". It matches the Rfam family "Bacterial small subunit ribosomal RNA", at positions 861 to 1346 of the family's 1533-position model. Lineage: Eukaryota; Metazoa; Chordata; Amphibia; Anura; Dicroglossidae. The record is from RNAcentral.
UACACACACACGCCAGGGAAUUACGAGCUUAGCUUAAAACCCAAAGACUUGACGGUGUCCCAUCCCACUAGAGGAGCCUGUUCUAGAAUCGAUACUCCCCGCUUAACCUCACCACUUCUUGCUUUAUCAGCUAGUAUACUUCCGUCGCAAGCUUACCACAUGAGUGUACGUAGUAGGCCCAAUGAUUAUACAUAAACACGUCAGGUCAAGGUGCAGCAUAAGAAGUGGCUGAGAUGGGCUACAAUUUCUAGCUUAGAACACACGAAAUGCUGAAUGAAACACGGGCAUGAAGGAGGAUCUAGUAGUAAAAAGA